This 1126-nucleotide unclassified non-coding RNA is filed under the name Centruroides sculpturatus (bark scorpion). Its description in RNAcentral is "gLIPR1-like protein 1, transcript variant X3". The record is from RNAcentral. Lineage: Eukaryota; Metazoa; Arthropoda; Arachnida; Scorpiones; Buthidae.
GUGCUUUUGGUCGAAAAUUUCUGAAAUUUUGAAGGAAGAUGACGCCACCAAAAUUUUAAAUGUUGCCGGAAAAGUUAAUCAACUCGUUGCUGGUUUAUUUCUAUUCUUGUUCCGUUGUAUAAACAGUGAAGAAGAAAAAGAAUAUCGCAUGGAAAGAAAGUCAACAAACUUUGCAUUAUAAGCAACUGAAAUAUAAAAGAAUAAAAAUGUUCGAUUUAUUCUAUUUUUUACUCCGAAAAUUAAACUAAUUUACAUAGCAAUUAAUGAGUUUUGCUUUAAAGAACUGUGUAGACUAGAAAUUCGUGCAAAGAUGAAUGGCAGACAUUUUGUCAUAUGCUUACUGUAUGUGACUCUUAACGAUAAAUUUUCCAUUUAUGCUAACGAUAUAACGUUCGAAACUGACGACUACUUCGAAGAAUAUUAUGAUGAUUAUACUGCCGAUACGUUUAGAGCAAAGGAAACAGGUACCAAAACUUCGUUUACCGAAGAAGAAAGGGAAGACAUUUUAGACUUAAGUAAUCUUUAUAGGAACAGCACUAAUCCCACAGCUGCAGAUAUGCUCAAACUGUACUGGAGUGAUGCAUUAGCAAAAUUGGCUGACCGUUGGUCAAGUCAAUGUAAGGUGUAUGAAAGUGGUGGACCAAGAGAUUGUUUCGAGUUCAUUGGUCAGAACAUUUACGUAGGGUUUAAAUCAUAUGAAGCUGCCUUAAAUGAUUGGUAUGAUGAAAGACAUUUGUAUGAUUACAAAAAUUAUUCGUGUGCAAUAAAGGAUAAAUGUAAUAAUUAUCUUAAUAUGGUAUCGGCUGAAACUCAUUCUGUAGGUUGCUCGAUAAGAGAUUGUUCCAGGACUGGAUAUAAGUAUCUGAUAGUUUGCAAUUAUUAUCCAAAGUUUAAUAGCUCAAAGACGAAACAUCCUUACUCAAAAGGAUUAUCGUGUGAAUCAUGUGUCGCGAAAACAAUAUGUGUUAACAGUUUGUGUGGUCGGUACAAAUUUUUUUAUUUAUAAUUAAGACAAUAAUUAUAUAAGCCACAAGUACCAGAAGACGAUUUGCAAACCUGUUCUGGAUUCAUACAGCAAAGUAAUAUACAAACAGUAUUUACAUUGGGACUAGUAAUUCCAAUGAUA